RNAcentral lists this long non-coding RNA (318 nucleotides) under Phascolarctos cinereus (koala). RNAcentral's name for it is "lncRNA (ENSPCIG00000032501.1)". Lineage: Eukaryota; Metazoa; Chordata; Mammalia; Diprotodontia; Phascolarctidae. The record is from RNAcentral.
AACUCCGCCUACAUGUCACUGUGUUUGCACUACUUCCUGUACAUACACCCCAAGGGGUGUGUUUUUCUCAAUCAAUGUUACAACUGGAGUGGAAAUCUCAUGCCGCCCCCUCAGCAGAAGCCGUUUCACUUGCUGGCAGCAGGUAGGGGUGAUGGAGCUCCAGAUGGACUCAGCACUUGAGGCUUGCCCAUGUGGCAGAAUACCUAUGGCUUUAGGACAGGAUCUCAGGAGCCAAAGGACAUUCAAGUGUGUAGGUGCAACUUUUAUAUGCAAAAAAACUAGCAUUUCAUAAGAACUUUAGAAAAAGAUGGAUGUGUG